This 330-nucleotide ribosomal RNA is filed under the name uncultured Lachnospiraceae bacterium. RNAcentral's name for it is "bacterial SSU rRNA". It matches the Rfam family "Bacterial small subunit ribosomal RNA", at positions 28 to 339 of the family's 1533-position model. Lineage: Bacteria; Bacillati; Bacillota; Clostridia; Lachnospirales; Lachnospiraceae. The record is from RNAcentral.
GAUGAACGCUGGCGGCGUGCUUAACACAUGCAAGUCGAACGAAGCACUUUAUUACGAUUUCUUCGGAAUGACGAUUUAGUGACUUAGUGGCGGACGGGUGAGUAACGCGUGGGUAACCUGCCUUAUACAGGGGGAUAACGUUUGGAAACGAACGCUAAUACCGCAUAAGCGCACAGAGUCGCAUGACUCAGUGUGAAAAACUCCGGUGGUAUAAGAUGGACCCGCGUCUGAUUAGCUAGUUGGUGAGGUAGAGGCCCACCAAGGCGACGAUCAGUAGCCGGCCUGAGAGGGUGAACGGCCACAUUGGGACUGAGACACGGCCCAAACUCC